ACGAACGCUGGCGGCGUGGCUAAGGCAUGCAAGUCGAACGGAACGUGCCGCGUGGUAACACAUGGCACGUUUAGUGGCGAACGGGUCAGUAAUACAUGGGUAACGUGCCCCGGACACAGGGAUAGCGGCGUCCCGACUUGUCGGGACUUUGCGAAAGUGCCGGUAAUACCUGAUGACGCUUACCGCUCGCAUGGGCGGUAAGCCAAAGGGUGGGCUUCACGGCCUAACGGUCUGGGAUCGGCCCAUGCCCUAUCAGCUUGUUGGUGAGGUAACGGCUCACCAAGGCUUCGACGGGUAGCGGGGCUGAGAGGUCGGCCCGCGACAUCGGGACUGAGACACUGCCCGGACACCUACGGGUGGCUGCAGCAACGAAUAUUCCGCAAUGGGCGAAAGCCUGACGGAGCAACGCCGCGUGCAGGAUGAAGUCUUUCGGGAUGUAAACUGCGAUAGUCUGUCAGGAAGCAAUCCCGUCGAAGAGGCGGGGGCGUUGACCAGCAGAUGAAAGGGACGGCUAACUCCGUGCCAGCAGCCGCGGUAAGACGGAGGUCCCUAGCGUUGUUCGGAAUCACUGGCUUAAAGCGCGUGUAGGCGGGCCGGCGCGUACCUUGUGAAAUCCCUCGGCUCAACCGAGGAACUGCUUGGUAUACCGCCGGUCUUGAGCAGUAGAGGCGCCUGACUCUAGUGGAGCGUGAAAUGCGUAGAUAUCUAGAGGAACGCCUGUGGCGAAGCGGGGCGCUGGGCCUGUCCUGACGCUGAGACGCGAAAGCGUAGGGAGCGAACGGGAUUAGAUACCCCGGUAGUCUACGCCGUAAACGAUGCGCACUAGGUACAAGCCCUUCUGACGGGGAUUGUGCCGAAGCAAAAGUGAUUAGUGCGCCGCCUGGGGAGUACGGCCGCAAGGCUAAAACUCAAAGGAAUUGACGGGGGCUCACACAAGCGGUGGAGCAUGUGGAUCAAUUCGAAGCAACGCGAAGAACCCUACCUGGGUUUGACAUGCACGGAUGCGUCCGGGGAAACUCGGAGCCGCUGCCUUCGGGUGAAACGUGCGCAGGUGCUGCAUGGCUGUCGUCAGCUCGUGCUGUGAAGUGUCGGGUUAAGUCCCUUAACGAGCGAAACCCUUGCGUCUAGUUGCCAGCGGGCCAUGCCGGGGACUCUAGACGGACUGCCGGUGUCAAACCGGAGGAAGGCGGGGACGACGUCAAGUCAUCAUGGCCUUUAUGCCCAGGGUUUCACACGUGCUACAAUGGGGCGAACAGAGCGACGCGAAACCGCAAGGUGGAGCAAAUCGCAAAACGCGCCUCCCAGUUCGGAUUGGGGUCUGCAACCCGACCCCAUGAAGUCGGAAUCGCUAGUAAUCGCGUAUCAGCACGACGCGGUGAAUGUGUUCCUGAGCCUGUACACACCG
RNAcentral lists this ribosomal RNA (1405 nucleotides) under uncultured bacterium. RNAcentral's name for it is "bacterial SSU rRNA". It matches the Rfam family "Bacterial small subunit ribosomal RNA", at positions 29 to 1392 of the family's 1533-position model. The record is from RNAcentral.